GGGGGGGGCAAGCGUUUGUUCGGAAUUACUGGGCGUAAAGGGCGCGCAGGCGGCCUGGCCAGUCCUACGUGAAAUCCCACAGCUCAACUGUGGAACUGCGUGGGAUACUGCCAAGCUUGAGUCCGGGAGAGGAGAGUGGAAUUCCCAGUGUAGCGGUGAAAUGCGUAGAUAUUGGGAGGAACACCGGUGGCGAAGGCGGCUCUCUGGACCGGCACUGACGCUGAGGCGCGAAAGCUAGGGGAGCAAACGGGGGAUUAGAUACCCCGGUAGUCCUAGCCCUAAACGAUGAGCACUUGGUGUGGCGGGUAUCGACCCCCUGCCGUGCCGAAGCUAACGCAUUAAGUGCUCCGCCUGGGGAGUACGUCGCAAGGCUG
RNAcentral lists this ribosomal RNA (374 nucleotides) under uncultured organism. Its description in RNAcentral is "partial 16S ribosomal RNA". It matches the Rfam family "Bacterial small subunit ribosomal RNA", at positions 527 to 896 of the family's 1533-position model. The record is from RNAcentral.